RNAcentral lists this ribosomal RNA (427 nucleotides) under uncultured bacterium. RNAcentral's name for it is "partial 16S ribosomal RNA". It matches the Rfam family "Bacterial small subunit ribosomal RNA", at positions 355 to 774 of the family's 1533-position model. The record is from RNAcentral.
UGGGGAAUAUUGGACAAUGGGCGAAAGCCUGAUCCAGCCAUGCCGCGUGUGUGAAGAAGGUCUUCGGAUUGUAAAGCACUUUAAGUUGGGAGGAAGGGCAUUAACCUAAUACGUUAGUGUUUUGACGUUACCGACAGAAUAAGCACCGGCUAACUCUGUGCCAGCAGCCGCGGUAAUACAGAGGGUGCAAGCGUUAAUCGGAAUUACUGGGCGUAAAGCGCGCGUAGGUGGUUUGUUAAGUUGGAUGUGAAAUCCCCGGGCUCAACCUGGGAACUGCAUUCAAAACUGACUGACUAGAGUAUGGUAGAGGGUGGAGGAAUUUCCUGUGUAGCGGUGAAAUGCGUAGAUAUAGGAAGGAACACCAGUGGCGAAGGCGACCACCUGGACUAAUACUGACACUGAGGUGCGAAAGCGUGGGGAGCAAACA